AAAGUAUCAAAUUGGAGCUUGGUAGAAAGCAUUUCACUUACACUGAAAAUUUAAUUGUGCAAUUCAAUUCGAUUUG
RNAcentral lists this transfer RNA (76 nucleotides) under Acisoma panorpoides. Its description in RNAcentral is "tRNA-Val". It matches the Rfam family "tRNA". Rfam says of the family: Transfer RNA (tRNA) molecules are approximately 80 nucleotides in length. Their secondary structure includes four short double-helical elements and three loops (D, anti-codon, and T loops). Lineage: Eukaryota; Metazoa; Arthropoda; Insecta; Odonata; Libellulidae. The record is from RNAcentral.